Long non-coding RNA from Symphalangus syndactylus (siamang), 497 nucleotides. RefSeq lists it as uncharacterized. NCBI's taxonomy places the organism in Eukaryota, Metazoa, Chordata, Mammalia, Primates, Hylobatidae. The record is from RefSeq and is a predicted model, not a curated record.
AGUAGAAGUCCAACCAUUAUAAGAAGGCAGCUCUCAGGCACUAUUGUGGGCAACUUGUGAUACAGAUGGAAGCCUGCAAUCUCCAGUCCUGCAAACUCCAUUUAUGGGAAGCCUCAUUGGUAAGUGACACCUGAACAAAGCCCUGAAUGAAGUGAAGCCCUGAAUAGUGAAAGAACUUUCCAGAGCAGGGAAGAAAAGAAUAAGGGGACAAGGCCUGAGUUGGGAGCACCUUGAGCAAAGAGGCUACUCUGGCUGGAGCUCGGAGAAUGAAGCAGAACAAGCCUUUGUAUGCCAACACAAACCAUAACAUGAAACUCACCUGGAAAGUAUGCUUGUCACAGUCAUAACAGAGAUCUUUUGGUGGAAUUCCCUGCCCUACCCACCGGAAUUAUUAGAGAAGAAGAGGAAUACAAGUUGUCUUCAAACAAGAGAUGAAUUUGACAAAUCAAGAUGAGAAAGCCCAUGUACAGUGAUGAACAAUGCACAGGACUGUUGCA